This 719-nucleotide ribosomal RNA is filed under the name Streptomyces sp. Its description in RNAcentral is "bacterial SSU rRNA". It matches the Rfam family "Bacterial small subunit ribosomal RNA", at positions 75 to 810 of the family's 1533-position model. Lineage: Bacteria; Bacillati; Actinomycetota; Actinomycetes; Kitasatosporales; Streptomycetaceae. The record is from RNAcentral.
CCACUUCGGUGGGGAUUAGUGGCGAACGGGUGAGUAACACGUGGGCAAUCUGCCCUUCACUCUGGGACAAGCCCUGGAAACGGGGUCUAAUACCGGAUACCACUCUCACAGGCAUCUGUGGGGGUUGAAAGCUCCGGCGGUGAAGGAUGAGCCCGCGGCCUAUCAGCUUGUUGGUGAGGUAACGGCUCACCAAGGCGACGACGGGUAGCCGGCCUGAGAGGGCGACCGGCCACACUGGGACUGAGACACGGCCCAGACUCCUACGGGAGGCAGCAGUGGGGAAUAUUGCACAAUGGGCGAAAGCCUGAUGCAGCGACGCCGCGUGAGGGAUGACGGCCUUCGGGUUGUAAACCUCUUUCAGCAGGGAAGAAGCGAAAGUGACGGUACCUGCAGAAGAAGCGCCGGCUAACUACGUGCCAGCAGCCGCGGUAAUACGUAGGGCGCAAGCGUUGUCCGGAAUUAUUGGGCGUAAAGAGCUCGUAGGCGGCUUGUCACGUCGGGUGUGAAAGCCCGGGGCUUAACCCCGGGUCUGCAUUCGAUACGGGCUAGCUAGAGUGUGGUAGGGGAGAUCGGAAUUCCUGGUGUAGCGGUGAAAUGCGCAGAUAUCAGGAGGAACACCGGUGGCGAAGGCGGAUCUCUGGGCCAUUACUGACGCUGAGGAGCGAAAGCGUGGGGAGCGAACAGGAUUAGAUACCCUGGUAGUCCACGCCGUAAACGGU